AAUAGGCAAGUCAAUUUCAUUUUAAAAUUUAUAUUUUAUCACAUAAUUUUACUAUAAUACACAUUACUAUACUGACGCUUGCGAUAUUGGGCCACCUGUGUUUGUACUGACAUCGUCAAUCAACUUCGUACCCAGGGGUCCCCGUGUUUAAAGGUCCCAACUCGUGCACGAGGUUGAUCGUCAAUUUCCAUGCAGCACAGGUGCAUUUCUGUGCAGCACAAUCGCAUUUCCUUGCAGCACAGACGUGUUUCCAUGCAGCACAGUCGUGUUUCCAUGCAGCACAGUCGUGUUUCCAUGCAGCACAGUCGUGUUUCCAUGCAGCACAGUCGCAUUUCCUUGCAGCACAGUCGUGUUUCCAUGCAGCACAAUCGUGUUUUCAUGCAGCACAGUCGCAUUUCCUUGCAGCACAGUCGCGUUUCCAUGCAGCAGAGGUGGCCCUUAUCGGCCACCGUAAAUCACACAUUUU
Non-coding RNA from Paramuricea clavata, 466 nucleotides. Lineage: Eukaryota; Metazoa; Cnidaria; Anthozoa; Malacalcyonacea; Plexauridae. The record is from the annotation of a GenBank genome assembly.